UCCGGUUUGUCACCGGCAGUCACCUUAGAGUGCCCAACUGAAUGCUGGCAACUAAGAUCAAGGGUUGCGCUCGUUGCGGGACUUAACCCAACAUCUCACGACACGAGCUGACGACAACCAUGCACCACCUGUCACUCUGUCCCCCGAAGGGGAACGCCCUAUCUCUAGGGUUGUCAGAGGAUGUCAAGACCUGGUAAGGUGGGGAUGACGUCGGAGGAAUUCCA
Molecule: unclassified non-coding RNA, 224 nt
Filed under: Bacillus sp. (in: firmicutes)
Lineage: Bacteria; Bacillati; Bacillota; Bacilli; Caryophanales; Bacillaceae
Description: Bacillus sp. (in: Bacteria) contains 16S-23S intergenic spacer region
Source: RNAcentral